Long non-coding RNA from Hyla sarda, 1007 nucleotides. RefSeq lists it as uncharacterized. The transcript has 2 exons. The record is from RefSeq and is a predicted model, not a curated record. Lineage: Eukaryota; Metazoa; Chordata; Amphibia; Anura; Hylidae.
GUAUGGGACUGGGUGAGGAAACCUUGUGGGGAGGAGCAGUUGCUCACGGCAACCAACUGGAUUGUAGCUUUCAUUUUUAAAAAGAGGCCAUUUAAAAAUGAAAGCUGGAAUCUGAUUGGUUGCUAUGGGCAAUUGCUCCUCUGCACAAGGCUUGAUCGAUCUCUACCGAAGUCUACGAUUCAAGAUGGCGGUGCAGGAGCCAUUAACACGUCUUGUAGGAUGGCAGAGACGCCGCUUGUGCCUGUCACAGCCCCGAGGCCUCUUCAGAAAACAUCAGACAACUUCUUAUUAUUAAAUGAAGAAAAAAGCACAUUUGGAUCCUGGGGCAAGAGAGAAGUGAUUGAGUGUUCAUCCAUCAGCGCCGCAGACAAGUGGAGGCAGAACGCUGGAUUUAUGAGAGAAGUCUUGUUAGCUGCAAAAAUAGAUCAAUCUCCCACAACCUCCAGAGAUCCCACAAGACGACUCAAUUGACCCAAUUUACUGGAAGAUGGAACGGAGCGCCCACAUCUCCUUCCCCGAAGUCCAGGCUGCCCUGUUAUAUGACAUUGAAGCUGCUGUCCCCAUAUCUGUUAUUACUCCAUAGUCUCUACCAAUAACCAGCACAUGUUACACCUCUACUUGCUUUUCUUCUUUUAUUGAUCCUGACUUAUAUGUUAUACUCCAGGUACAUCCGGAGCUGAGCAGCGACUAAAGCUGGGGAAGGAGUUUUUGUGGACAUGUGCUCAUUGCUAUCUUGGUAGCGGAAGGCUCAGGAUUGGCCUGCUGAGCACAAAAACAGUAACAAAGGUAAGGGACUGCAGGGAUAUAGAUGGACACUCCCUGUGGCUGCAUUCACAUCUCGUUUUUGCAAUACGGUUCCCGUAUCAGUUUUUUUUGUAAAAAAAAUGUAUGUCUCAAAACCGGAUCGAACCGUAUACAACUGUGUACAACAGUGUAUACCUCUGUAAGGUUUUAAACCGUAUACGGUUUGAAAACGGUUGUCCGGUUGCAUACGGUUUAAUACGUUU